RNAcentral lists this ribosomal RNA (600 nucleotides) under uncultured archaeon. Its description in RNAcentral is "bacterial SSU rRNA". It matches the Rfam family "Archaeal small subunit ribosomal RNA", at positions 81 to 684 of the family's 1478-position model. The record is from RNAcentral.
GCGGACGGCUCAUUAACACGUGGUUAACAUACCCUCAGGUGGGGGAUAACCUUGGGAAACUGAGGAUAAUACCCCAUAGAAAAAGCAGUCUGGAACGAUUCUUUUUCGAAAGCAUAUGCGCCUGAGGAUUGGACUGCGCUCGAUUAGGUAGUUGGUGGGGUAAUGGCCUACCAAGCCUACGAUCGGUACGGGCCUUGAGAGAGGAAGCCCGGAGAUGGGGACUGAGACACGGCCCCAGGCCCUACGGGGCGCAGCAGGCGCGAAACCUCCGCAAUGCACGAAAGUGCGACGGGGGGAUCCCAAGUGCUCAUGCACAGCAUGGGCUUUUAUCAAGUGUAAACAGCUUGAGGAAUAAGGGCUGGGCAAGUUCGGUGCCAGCAGCCGCGGUAACACCGACGGCCCGAGUGGUGGCCACUUUUAUUGGGCCUAAAGCGUCCGUAGCCGGUCCAGUAAGUCCUUGUUUAAAUCCUGCGGCUUAACCGCAGGACUGGCAGGGAUACUGCUGGACUUGGGACCGGGAGAGGACAAGGGUACUUCAGGGGUAGCGGUGAAAUGUGUUGAUCCUUGAAGGACCACCUAUGGCGAAGGCACUUGUCUGGA